GUUGUUCUGGGGGGAGAAGAUGGCAGUCUGGCCUGAUUCCAGAAGAUGGUGACUGUUAGGUGAGAACUGGAUGAGGUUGCCAUCUGGUGUAUUGCAAACAGUCUCGGAGAGUAAGAGGCCAUCUGUUAAUACUUUUUCAGGAAGCUUUUUAUAGAGCAGUGAAGUGGCAAAUCUCAAAAACACGUUGUAAUGACUUACAAGAUCUUGGCUACAAGAUGUAAUUCGUGAUGUUUUGGAGCCUCCCUCUUUAGAACCAGUGCUGCUUCAGUGAAGACUAAUAGCAAAUUGUUUUCUCUUCAGUGGUUCAGAAUUUGAUAGUGGGACAUCAAAAAUACUGG
Molecule: long non-coding RNA, 338 nt
Filed under: Coturnix japonica (Japanese quail)
Lineage: Eukaryota; Metazoa; Chordata; Aves; Galliformes; Phasianidae
Description: lncRNA (ENSCJPG00005000268.1)
Source: RNAcentral